UGCAGUCGAACGGCAGCGGGGGCUUCGGCCUGCCGGCGAAGUGGCGAACGGGUGAGUAAUGCAUCGGAACGUGCCCNUGUCGUGGGGGAUAACGUAUCGAAAGGUACGCUAAUACCGCAUACGUCCUGAGGGAGAAAGCGGGGGAUCUUCGGACCUCGCGCGAUUGGAGCGGCCGAUGUCGGAUUAGCUAGUAGGUGAGGUAAAGGCUCACCUAGGCGACGAUCCGUAGCGGGUCUGAGAGGAUGAUCCGCCACACUGGGACUGAGACACGGCCCAGACUCCUACGGGAGGCAGCAGUGGGGAAUUUUGGACAAUGGGGGCAACCCUGAUCCAGCCAUGCCGCGUGAGUGAAGAAGGCCUUCGGGUUGUAAAGCUCUUUCGGCCGGGAAGAAAUCGUGGUCUCUAACAUAGGCCAUGGAUGACGGUACCGGACUAAGAAGCACCGGCUAACUACGUGCC
This 459-nucleotide ribosomal RNA is filed under the name uncultured bacterium. RNAcentral describes it as "bacterial SSU rRNA". It matches the Rfam family "Bacterial small subunit ribosomal RNA", at positions 56 to 509 of the family's 1533-position model. The record is from RNAcentral.